RNAcentral lists this transfer RNA (77 nucleotides) under Nitrospinae bacterium RIFCSPLOWO2_02_39_17. RNAcentral's name for it is "tRNA-His". It matches the Rfam family "tRNA". From Rfam's summary of the family: Transfer RNA (tRNA) molecules are approximately 80 nucleotides in length. Their secondary structure includes four short double-helical elements and three loops (D, anti-codon, and T loops). Further hydrogen bonds mediate the characteristic L-shaped molecular structure. tRNAs have two regions of fundamental functional importance: the anti-codon, which is responsible for specific mRNA codon recognition, and the 3' end, to which the tRNAs corresponding amino acid is attached (by aminoacyl-tRNA synthetases). tRNAs cope with the degeneracy of the genetic code in two manners: having more than one tRNA (with a specific anti-codon) for a particular amino acid; and 'wobble' base-pairing, i.e. permitting non-standard base-pairing at the 3rd anti-codon position. The record is from RNAcentral. RNAcentral also lists the same sequence under 1 other name. Lineage: Bacteria; Pseudomonadati; Nitrospinota.
GUGAGCGUAGCUCAACUGGUUAGAGCACUGGACUGUGGCUCCAGAGGCUGAGGGUUCAAGCCCCUUCGCUCACCCCA